This 175-nucleotide ribosomal RNA is filed under the name uncultured bacterium. Its description in RNAcentral is "partial 16S ribosomal RNA". It matches the Rfam family "Bacterial small subunit ribosomal RNA", at positions 1325 to 1500 of the family's 1533-position model. The record is from RNAcentral.
GCUGGAAUCGCUAGUAAUCGCAGAUCAGCAUGCUGCGGUGAAUACGUUCCCGGGCCUUGUACACACCGCCCGUCACACCAUGGGAGUCGGUAACACCCGAAGUCGGUAGCCUAACCGUAAGGAGGGCGCCGCCGAAGGUGGGAUUGAUGACUGGGUGAAGUCGUAACAAGGUAGC